GGUCGACUCAUGGCACAGAAAAAUUCAAAAGAAUGAUGGGACAAUUUUGAAAAAAUUUGAAACUCUGAGAGAAGGAUGUUUACCCAAAUAUUGAUCAUGUGAAUGAUAGUUUUGAGCUUUUGAGCUCUUAAGAAAAAUGAGAAUUGAGCUCAAUAGAUUUGGUUCAAUGAAGUUUUGACAUUAAGAAUUUGGAAUCAGAGAGAUACUUAAGCUGAUGGAUCAAGGAUUCC
This 230-nucleotide long non-coding RNA is filed under the name Elaeis guineensis (African oil palm). Its description in RNAcentral is "long non-coding RNA (EGUI_LNC081286)". The record is from RNAcentral. Lineage: Eukaryota; Viridiplantae; Streptophyta; Magnoliopsida; Arecales; Arecaceae.